UGCCACAACUACAAGGAUUUCUACGACCAU
This 30-nucleotide non-coding RNA is filed under the name Mus musculus (house mouse). Lineage: Eukaryota; Metazoa; Chordata; Mammalia; Rodentia; Muridae. The record is from RNAcentral.